CCUACGGGAGGCAGCAGUGGGGAAUAUUGGGCAAUGGGCGCAAGCCUGACCCAGCAAUGCCGCGUGAAGGAAGAAGGCUUUCGGGUUGUAAACUUCUUUGACAGGGGAAGAGCAGAAGACGGUACCCUGAAAACAAGCCACGGCCAACUACGUGCCAGCAGCCGCGGUAAUACGUAGGUGGCAAGCGUUGUCCGGAUUUACUGGGUGUAAAGGGCGUGUAGCCGGGAAGGCAAGUCAGAUGUGAAAUCUGGAGGCUCAACCUCCAAAGUGCAUUUGAAACUGUUUUUCUUGAGUACUGGAGAGGCAGACGGAAUUCCUUGUGUAGCGGUGAAAUGCGUAGAUAUAAGGAGGAACACCAGUGGCGAAGGCGGUCUGCUGGACAGCAACUGACGGUGAGGCGCGAAAGCGUGGGGAGCAAACAGGAUUAGAUACCCUAGUAGUC
Molecule: ribosomal RNA, 442 nt
Filed under: uncultured bacterium
Lineage: Bacteria
Description: partial 16S ribosomal RNA
Rfam family: Bacterial small subunit ribosomal RNA
Source: RNAcentral